ACAAAACAAAAAAACUUAGCAACCAUUUUUGUUAUUAUAUACAUUAAAUUUCAAUAUAAUAUGAUCAAAUGGAGUUUAAUUUGCAUAAUAUUUGUGACGCUGAGCAAUGUAAUUACAACUGAACAGUAUGAUAUAAACAAAAAUAUCUGUGCUGAUUGCGAGAGUUAUCUUCGUUUCUGUCGCAUAUCAAGUUAUGGCUUUUCGGUUCAGCUGGAUGAUGAUUCAGAUAAAAUUUCAAUAAAUACACAAAACUCCACAACUGAUGAUUCUUUGUCUGAUUGCGUACCGCCGGUUUAUCAAAUUUCUGAAUUUCUGGAGGGAUUCGCUUGUUUUUGGUCAAAGCGCAUGGGGUGUAACAUGGUUCUGGGUAGAAGAGAGCAGGAAAAGGGUUUCGACGCAUUAACUUGUUUACAAUGCUACGAUUAUUGUCCUUGCUUCGCGCAAGGUUUGACUUUUGCAACAGGGCACAGAAAAUCUAUAACUAUUUGUCUUGGUAUCAUAUUAGUAAUAAAUAAAGUAUUGUUUGGCCAGCUAUAAAUAUAU
This is a long non-coding RNA of Drosophila albomicans, 543 nucleotides long. RefSeq lists it as uncharacterized. The record is from RefSeq and is a predicted model, not a curated record. The transcript has 3 exons. NCBI's taxonomy places the organism in Eukaryota, Metazoa, Arthropoda, Insecta, Diptera, Drosophilidae.